Molecule: transfer RNA, 85 nt
Filed under: bovine gut metagenome
Rfam family: tRNA
About the family: Transfer RNA (tRNA) molecules are approximately 80 nucleotides in length.
Source: RNAcentral
GAGAGGUAGCGAAGUGGUCAUAACGCGGUGGUCUUGAAAACCAUUUGAGUUCAUAGCUCACAAGGGUUCGAAUCCCUUCCUCUCC